UUAUGGCUCAGGAUGAACGCUGGCGGCGUGCUUAACACAUGCAAGUCGAACGGAGUUAGAUGAAGCUGCAAUUCUAAACUUAGUGGCGGACGGGUGAGUAACGCGUGGGUAACCUGCCUUAUACCGGGGGAUAACACUUAGAAAUAGGUGCUAAUACCGCAUAAGCGCACGGAGCUGCAUGGCUCAGUGUGAAAAACUCCGGUGGUAUAAGAUGGACCCGCGUCUGAUUAGCUAGUUGGUGAGGUAACGGCCCACCAAGGCGACGAUCAGUAGCCGGCCUGAGAGGGUGAACGGCCACAUUGGGACUGAGACACGGCCCAAACUCCUACGGGAGGCAGCAGUGGGGAAUAUUGGACAAUGGGGGAAACCCUGAUCCCAGCGACGCCGCGUGAGUGAAGAAGUAUUUCGGUAUGUAAAGCUCUAUCAGCAGGGAAGAUAAUGACGGUACCUGACUAAGAAGCCCCGGCUAACUACGUGCCAGCCGCAGC
This 488-nucleotide ribosomal RNA is filed under the name uncultured bacterium. RNAcentral's name for it is "bacterial SSU rRNA". It matches the Rfam family "Bacterial small subunit ribosomal RNA", at positions 17 to 518 of the family's 1533-position model. The record is from RNAcentral.